Oreochromis aureus is the source of this 358-nucleotide long non-coding RNA. RefSeq lists it as uncharacterized. The record is from RefSeq and is a predicted model, not a curated record. Lineage: Eukaryota; Metazoa; Chordata; Actinopteri; Cichliformes; Cichlidae. The transcript has 2 exons.
CUGACACCGACAACAUGAACUCCGUGGGCUCUGCCUCCGUUUUCCCACAGGGGAAAUCUCUGCAUCAGCUGAUCGACUGAAACGCUCUUCUUCAGAACAGGUUUCACUCCUGCGGACGUCCGAGUGGAUCUGAGAUUAAAGUUUGGUGUUUGGUCUGCUGACGGAGCUGCACCUCAACCCCACCUGUGAGGAAGCCUGAGGAUGAAGAGCUCAGAAGCACGAAGCAGCCAAUCUGCACCUUUCUCUGAUUUUUUUAAAUAUAUUUUUUCUGAUUACUGUUUAUUCCAGUACAGUUGGUGUGAAGCGCCCACGAUUUCGUUGUACAUGUACGAUGACAAUAAAGGGCUCUUCUAUUCUA